UAAGUAGUUUUGCAUGUAUUGAGUGUGUGUUUAAGUAAACAGUGAGUGAGCUUUGUACGUUGUUGCACUUCUUGUAAACCCUACGUUUGAGUUUUUGAGAGUUCGGAAAAUAUGGCAAGGUUUAGGGUGAUUAUUGGUGUAGCGUUCUUGAUUAUGGUCCUUGUGGACUUCUCCUUUGCCGCUAGACAAUCAAAGGCUUUACAUGGAGGAGGUGGCGGAGGAGGAGGUGGAGGCAGAGGAGGUGGUGGAGGAGGCAGUUUUGGGUCGGGGAGUGGGUUUGGGUCUGGUAGUGGAUAUGGGUCUGGGUAUGGAAGUGGUGGAGGAAACGGUGGAGGUGGUGGAGGCGGAGGUGGUAGAGGAGGUGGCGGUGGUGGAGGCUCCGGAGUUGGAGGUGGGUCUGGAUAUGGAAGCGGGUCUGGAUACGGAAGUGGAUAUGGAAGUGGUGGAGGUAGAGGAGGAGGAGGCGGUGGAGGAGGAGGAGGAGGAGGAGGAGGCGGAGGAGAAGGCCAUGGUGGCGGAUCUGGAUAUGGGUCGGGCCAGGGCUCCGGAUACGGUGGUGGAGGAGGUGAUGAAUCCCCAUAAACAUGAACACAUGAAGGUUCCUGUUUCAUUAGGUAGCAAUUAGCAAUGCACUCUUCAAUCCCACUUUUCACUUUUGGCAUUAGUAAUUCUCAAAUAAAAUUGUAGCGGAUUCACUUUAUGCAUACAUUUCACUUUUGGCAUUUGUAAUUCUCAAAUAAAAUUGUAGCGGAUUCACUCCUUGCAUGCGGUUUGUGCAUGCAUGGUGGGGAAAGUUGCAUUUCUUUCUGCAUGUGUCUCUACGAUACUGCUAUACACAUGCUUUGUUAUUACCAAGGUUUAUUGAUACAUCAAUGCAAAAUAAAAAUUUACCCGUGUGCUAGUUAUAGCAUUAUUCAACCAGCCCUUGUAUACAUUUCACACCCAUAUCUAUGGAAGUUUCGAAACCAUGAACGUUUUGUCUACAUCCUUAUAUUCAAGUGAAACGGUUUGUUGAACAAAAACAUUGCUGUAC
RNAcentral lists this long non-coding RNA (1033 nucleotides) under Citrus maxima (pomelo). RNAcentral describes it as "long non-coding RNA (CMAX_LNC003018)". The record is from RNAcentral. Lineage: Eukaryota; Viridiplantae; Streptophyta; Magnoliopsida; Sapindales; Rutaceae.